AGUGAACGCUGGCGGUAGGCCUAACACAUGCAAGUCGAACGGCAGCACAGUAAGAGCUUGCUCUUACGGGUGGCGAGUGGCGGACGGGUGAGGAAUACAUCGGAAUCUACUUUUUCGUGGGGGAUAACGUAGGGAAACUUACGCUAAUACCGCAUACGACCUACGGGUGAAAGCAGGGGAUCUUCGGACCUUGCGCGAUUGAAUGAGCCGAUGUCGGAUUAGCUAGUUGGCGGGGUAAAGGCCCACCAAGGCGACGAUCCGUAGCUGGUCUGAGAGGAUGAUCAGCCACACUGGAACUGAGACACGGUCCAGACUCCUACGGGAGGCAACAGUGGGGAAUAUUGGACAAUGGGCGAAAGCCUGAUCCAGCAAUACCGCGUGGGUGAAGAAGGCCUUCGGGUUGUAAAGCCCUUUUGUUGGGAAAGAAAAGCAGCAGGUUAAUACCCCGCUGUUCUGACGGUACCCAAAGAAUAAGCACCGGCUAACUUCGUG
This 492-nucleotide ribosomal RNA is filed under the name uncultured bacterium. Its description in RNAcentral is "partial 16S ribosomal RNA". It matches the Rfam family "Bacterial small subunit ribosomal RNA", at positions 29 to 507 of the family's 1533-position model. The record is from RNAcentral.